GAAGAACAGAAGAUACGCAUUUUAAGUUCUUGAUUUCGAUUUUACUUCAAAUUUGAGAGCUCUUCUUAAAAUUAAGAUCUAAAUUUUUAGUAUGUUGUACAGGAGAUUUUGUGAUGGAUAUUGAAGUUGAUUUGAAUCCAUAGGCAGAGUUUUAGUGAAUUCCAAGAAACGGGAAUGAAACAAAAUUUAAAAUAUAAUGGAAGGAAAUCGGAUGGAAACGUUUGAACGCAAGUGAAGGAGAUGAACCAGACGACGACACAUGUCACGAAGAGAGGAGUAGAGCCCCUCGGCCUCCACCAAAGACACGCGUUAAAUUGUGAGAUGCACAAUGAGUCACAAUGUUAGCGGCAAACCCAAAUGAACCGAUCUGACUCGCUCACUCGACUUGAGAGCUAAGGGGCGACUUGGUUUAGCGCUUGCAUGCCAAACCACUUGUCUGACCUAACCCGCUCGAGAAUUGCAUGUCCAUAUGUCACUACCUCGAGAAUUGCAUGAAAUCCUAUGUAUUUCGAAAGCGGUUGACAGUUUGCAUAAAUUUUAUUUAAAUAGUUUAAACUCA
Cucurbita moschata (crookneck pumpkin) is the source of this 559-nucleotide long non-coding RNA. RefSeq lists it as uncharacterized. The record is from RefSeq and is a predicted model, not a curated record. The transcript is spliced from 2 exons. NCBI's taxonomy places the organism in Eukaryota, Viridiplantae, Streptophyta, Magnoliopsida, Cucurbitales, Cucurbitaceae.